AACGACUCUCGGCAACGGAUAUCUCGGCUCUCGCAUCGAUGAAGAACGUAGCGAAAUGCGAUACUUGGUGUGAAUUGCAGAAUCCCGUGAACCAUCGAGUCUUUGAACGCAAKUUGCGCCCGAAGCCAUUAGGCCGAGGGCACGCCUGCCUGGGCGUCACACGUC
This 165-nucleotide ribosomal RNA is filed under the name Prunus sargentii. RNAcentral's name for it is "5.8S ribosomal RNA". The record is from RNAcentral. Lineage: Eukaryota; Viridiplantae; Streptophyta; Magnoliopsida; Rosales; Rosaceae. RNAcentral also lists the same sequence under 1 other name.